AUGGCAUAGACAAAUGGACUACCCUUAGUUAUUUAAGUUCUCUUAACCAAAAAAAGAUGGUUUUGCAGAGUCAUGAUGACUAGUUGAAAUUAUGGCUCUCAGAAGGAAUUUACUUCUUUAAAAAUAGUUGCUUUGACUGUGUGUGUGUGUGUGUGUGUAUGUGUGUGUGUGUGCUUAGUUGAAAUAAGUCUGCAUGCAGAAGUGCUUUUAAAAUAUACUCCACAUAAUUUUAACCUAAGCACAAUAGUUUAAUUGAGAUUGACAGGCAAAGUACAAUGUUAUGAAAGAAAAUGUCAUCAUCUUUGUUAAGAGCAUGAAAGCGGCUUUAACAUAGUAUUUACCUGUCAUUUGAGAGUGUGAGGUUACUGUGCUAAUCUGGAGAAGUGGCCAGACUGCUCUACCGUUUCUGGGAAAAAGAGUAGGUGGGCACAGGUGAAAUCACAAAUGAAAACUCUAUAGCAAGUAGAACUAAGUGAUCUAUGUCUCUUACCACACACCAGAGAAGACUUGAGACUUAUCGAAGAGAAAAAUCUAAAAUUGCCUUGGGUGGUUGAUUCUGAGAAUGAGGCAAGUCUCCUGUUCUGUGUAAGCCGAACAUGAGGUCCUAAUGUUCAGUUUCCCAAGGGUCAUCACCCUAUAAGGGACUGAGUUGUCACCGCAGCAUCUGUCCACAGGCAUUUCCUGACUCAGUAAUUUCUCUGCAGGACGAGGACGGGGAACAGGGCGGGCUCCUGCCUGCGGUGUAGACCUUGGUCACAGCUGUGCCACGGUGACAAGAAGAGUAAAACUAAACUGCCGAGAGAAGGGCUUGAGUUUAUCUGAGACAUGGAGAACAACGGAUCAACAUCUCCUCAUAAUAAUCCCCUGAACACCUGAAGACAGCUGUGAGCGCUUAAAGAUUUGCUGAGGCUAAUCUGAAC
This 920-nucleotide long non-coding RNA is filed under the name Capra hircus (goat). Its description in RNAcentral is "lncRNA (ENSCHIG00010007622.1)". The record is from RNAcentral. Lineage: Eukaryota; Metazoa; Chordata; Mammalia; Artiodactyla; Bovidae.